UACGUAGGGGGCAAGCGUUGUCCGGAAUUAUUGGGCGUAAAGAGCGCGUAGGCGGUCCGGUAAGUCAGCUGUGAAAGUCAAGGGCUCAACCCUUGAAAGCCGGUUGAUACUGUCGGGCUAGAGUCCGGAAGAGGCGAGUGGAAUUCCCGGUGUAGCGGUGAAAUGCGUAGAGAUCGGAAGGAACGUCAAUGGCGAAGGCAGCCACCUGGCAUCAUACUGACGCUGAGGCGCGAAAGCGUGGGGAGCGAACAGG
This 253-nucleotide ribosomal RNA is filed under the name uncultured bacterium. Its description in RNAcentral is "partial 16S ribosomal RNA". It matches the Rfam family "Bacterial small subunit ribosomal RNA", at positions 524 to 776 of the family's 1533-position model. The record is from RNAcentral.